Non-coding RNA from Eptesicus fuscus (big brown bat), 78 nucleotides. NCBI's taxonomy places the organism in Eukaryota, Metazoa, Chordata, Mammalia, Chiroptera, Vespertilionidae. The record is from RefSeq and is marked provisional.
UCAGGCCAGCUUGGGAGCAGCAUGCUCAGUGUCCCUAGAGAAGUUGACACUUCCCAUCUGUCCCCAGUGAUGCCGGCU